UCCGGCUUAUCACCGGCAGUUUCUUUAGAGUGCCCAACUAAAUGCUGGCAACUAAAGACGAGGGUUGCGCUCGUUGCGGGACUUAACCCAACAUCUCACGACACGAGCUGACGACAGCCAUGCAGCACCUGUGUCCAGGUUCCCUUUCGGGCACCCCUCCAUCUCUGGAGGGUUCCUGGCAUGUCAAGGGUAGGUAAGGUUUUUCGCGUUGCUUCGAAUUAAGCCACAUGCUCCACCGCUUGUGUGAGCCCCCGUCAAUUUCUUUGAGUUUUAACCUUGCGGCCGUACUCCCCAGGCGGAGAACUUAAUGCGUUAGCUGCGCCACCGAGACCCUAAGGGCCCCGACAGCUAGUUCUCAUCGUUUACGGCGUGGACUAC
RNAcentral lists this unclassified non-coding RNA (378 nucleotides) under uncultured Sphingomonadaceae bacterium. RNAcentral's name for it is "contains 16S-23S intergenic spacer region". The record is from RNAcentral. Lineage: Bacteria; Pseudomonadati; Pseudomonadota; Alphaproteobacteria; Sphingomonadales; Sphingomonadaceae.